CUUUAAAAACAAAAGAACUAUGACUCAGUAUGAAAUUUUCUAUUAAUCUUUCCCAGGCCUGAGGAUGGAAACGUCACUGUCGAAACUUGGAACAGCACUAUUCCACCAUAUGCUGACUUCCCAGUGACAAAUUACACACUGAAGAAUUUUUUACAAUGUGCUGGACUACCUACAAACAUGUCUCAUAGCAGCCCUGAACAUAUAUGGAAUCUCAAAGGAAUUAUAGAAGCAGCUUUAGAUGUCUACUCCUUCAUGAGGUCCACCUUUAGUCAGGAGCCUAUUGUGGAAAUGCUAGGCACCCUCAUUAUGAACCCUGAUGCCUACAUUUUUCAUAAUGUUGACUUGGUCAAAAUUUGGUUCCAACUGAAGAUCAGGCCACUGCUUUCAACACUGACCCCACAGUUUUUGUCUUGUCUCAGCACCAAGAACUUCACUUGUGAGACGUAUCAGAUCGUGGUACAAGAGUUGAACUACCACUUUUCAACCAUGGACCCAGUCAGACAGAAGUGGAUCUAUUUAUCUUUUAUGUACCCCUUCCUUGCUGGAAACAAUUCAGCAGGUAUUAUUUCAUUUAUUAAAUACUUUAAUACAUUAUGUUUGCUUUAUAAUGGUGGCACUGUGGUGCAGAGGCUAACACUGGUGCCUCACAGCUGCUGGGUCAUUACUUUGGACCUCAGCUGGAAUCACACUGCCUGUGUGGAGUCUGUAUUUUCUCCUUGUGUUUGUGUCAAUUUCCUCACACAGUCCAAAAGCAAGUGAAUUAUAAGUGAAUUACAAGUGUAUUUUUUUCUUCUUUGUAUAUACAUAAAGGCUGUGUAUCCCAAGGAG
RNAcentral lists this long non-coding RNA (828 nucleotides) under Scleropages formosus (Asian bonytongue). RNAcentral describes it as "lncRNA (ENSSFOG00015031223.1)". The record is from RNAcentral. Lineage: Eukaryota; Metazoa; Chordata; Actinopteri; Osteoglossiformes; Osteoglossidae.